RNAcentral lists this unclassified non-coding RNA (226 nucleotides) under uncultured fungus. Its description in RNAcentral is "sequence contains ITS1". The record is from RNAcentral. Lineage: Eukaryota; Fungi.
UUUACUUAUUUGUUUGUUUAUACUUAGACAAGUUCUUAACAAGAGUUUUGAUUGGGGCCACCGGCGAGCACUGACCAGAGAGUGUUUAACGACCCUCCGGCGGCCUCUUUCGAAGCGGGCUCGCCGAAGCAACAUUGGUAAGGUAGACAAAGGGUUGGAGGUCGGGCUCUGUAUAAAUCGAGUCCCUUACUCAUUAAUGAUCCUUCCGCAGGUUCACCUACGGAAA